GCUGGGUAGCUAUGUAUGGACGGGAUAAGUGCUGAAAGCAUCUAAGCAUGAAGCCCCCCUCAAGAUGAGAUUUCCCAACUUCGGUUAUAAGAUCCCUCAAAGAUGAUGAGGUUAAUAGGUUCGAGGUGGAAGCGUGGUGACACGUGGAGCUGACGAAUACUAAUCGAUUGAAGACUUAAUCAA
Molecule: ribosomal RNA, 183 nt
Filed under: Staphylococcus haemolyticus
Lineage: Bacteria; Bacillati; Bacillota; Bacilli; Caryophanales; Staphylococcaceae
Description: partial 23S ribosomal RNA
Rfam family: Bacterial large subunit ribosomal RNA
Source: RNAcentral